Molecule: long non-coding RNA, 753 nt
Organism: Salvia splendens (bonfire salvia)
Lineage: Eukaryota; Viridiplantae; Streptophyta; Magnoliopsida; Lamiales; Lamiaceae
Exons: 3
Source: RefSeq, a predicted model, not a curated record
UGCACUUUGAUUCCAAGUUUAUAAUUUGAGAGUGUGAAUUUGUGCUUCUCUGGAACUGAGACCGCAGCGUCGAUCUUUUUCAGUUAAGCUUUUGCUUGUUUUAUCCGUCUUGGCGAUUCAAUUCGAAUUGUUAUGUGGUGUUUGAUGAUGGAAGUCUCGGUUUUCUUCCGACUCUUGAGAAUUUCUGCGGAGAGCAAAGCGAAUGCCCAGAAUAUGAUGUAAAUGUCAAAUUGGACCAAAGAAAUCCACAGUUUGCUGGUUGCAUUGUUGUUUGAAUUAGGUCGAUUCAAAGCCUUGAAACCAACAUUCGGCAAAAGCAUUGCGGCUUGACGAAUGAGAUUACAGAUACUUUUAUUGGUGGCCGUGGACAAAAAAGUGGCCGUUGACAAAAAAAAGUGACUUGUCCAUUGAAGUGUCAUUCCUAUUGUGGACACUCUUAGGUCGUGCAUCCGGAUUCAAAGCCAUGAAACGAAAUUUCGGAGGCAUGAGAUUACAGGUAUAUUUAGUUUUGAUAGACAUGCCCUGAUGAAGUAAUUUGAAGGUGAGAAGCCAAUAUUAGUAACGCUUCUAAAGAAGACAUUUUCUCCACCAACUUAUUAUAUUUCAAUUUAUAUUUCUUAAAAUUUGUGACAAAAAAAGAUUCCUAAUCGUGCAUAGUGGCCUAAAUGGUUGAUUCUGAACAAUCUGUGCCACAUAGUACUCCUAUAAUAAUAACAACAAUGUUAAUACCCCUCACAUGAUGUCGGGCCGGAG